AUUGAACGCUGGCGGCAGGCCUAACACAUGCAAGUCGAGCGCGAAAGUUCUUCGGAAUGAGUAAAGCGGCGGACGGGUGAGUAAUACAUGGGAACCUGCCUGGUAGUGGGGGACAACGUUUCGAAAGGAACGCUAAUACCGCAUACGCCCUACGGGGGAAAGGGGGGGAGUCUUCGGACCUCUCGCUAUCAGAUGAGCCC
RNAcentral lists this ribosomal RNA (200 nucleotides) under uncultured bacterium. RNAcentral's name for it is "partial 16S ribosomal RNA". It matches the Rfam family "Bacterial small subunit ribosomal RNA", at positions 30 to 232 of the family's 1533-position model. The record is from RNAcentral.